This is a long non-coding RNA of Spinacia oleracea (spinach), 1088 nucleotides long. RefSeq lists it as uncharacterized. Lineage: Eukaryota; Viridiplantae; Streptophyta; Magnoliopsida; Caryophyllales; Amaranthaceae. The record is from RefSeq and is a predicted model, not a curated record. The transcript is spliced from 2 exons.
UCUAAUACUCUCUCUCCUAUCGUUUCAUGACCCUCCUCCUUCCCUUGAAAUCCUUCCCAGUUCCCACCUCCCUACAAAUUACCUAGAAAACUAAACUAAAAAACUAUGGGUAAUUAUGCAUCUUGUGCAUUGACAACAAUCGACAAAUAAAAUCAGCGAAAGUAAUCAUUCCAUCAAGAGAAGUAAAGCAAUUUGAGCAACCCAUGAAAGCCGAUAAAAGUACGAUUUUUUUCGCGACUCCUCCGAUCCACGAAUCAAUGAUAACAAGAAACUAGUAAUGAUUAAUUUCCUCUCCUUCCCUCCCUCUUGUUUAGAUCCGGACAUGCUUGAAGUUGGUAAUGGAGGGAUGACUGAAGAGGAGUAUCGUUCUCACUUCAGCAUAUGGGCAUUACUAAAAGUACUAUUCUAACUUCAUAUUUUUUUCUGACUUCUGUAAUGGAACUCAAUUAGUGUAUGUUUCUGGAUGAUUACUUCCUAGGCCUGUAAUGUAGACUCAAUUAGUGUAUAUACACCAAAAGAUUAACAGUAGAUGAUGGUGAACAAACACUUACUUUCAAGGAUAACUCUUUACAUUAGAAUUUUUCGUGUUAAAAACUUUCCCAAAUGCAAAGUUUGUAGAGUCAAUGGAGGCACAAAAACUAGCGUACGAAAAAAAAAGAACAACAACAGAUGGCACACCAAGUAGUAGAAAAUAAACAGGUGCAGCAAGACCACAUCAACAAUUCAACAUCAGCAGCACCACCACCACAUCAACAUCAGCCGCACCACCACCACAUCAACAUCAGCAACAACCCACCACAUCAACAUCAACAACACCACCUCCACAUCAACAUCAGCAACACCACCACCACCACCACCAGCUAGAACCAAAAUAGUAACCAUCACAGCAACAGAACGCCCUAGGAAAAUAAAGACAUUAGUACGAUAGAAGAAAAACUUAAUUUAAACACGUUAAAUAGAAAAAUGGUACCUUAGUUAAGUAGAUAUCUUUGCAGGGCAAUUAUGGCUAUCAUGGUAUGCCAAAUGACCAUAACUUUUACACUGUCUCUGUUUCUUUUCUUGUUGUUCCAUUGCCUUCUCUUUUCCCC